ACAAGGAUCACCAUUCCAACCCAUUCUAUCAGGAACACGAAGAGACUCUUUCAAUGCUCUCAUAGCAACAACUUGCUCAGGAGCGGUGGAGAUAUCAUUCGGAACCAGAGCAUAAUUCUCGAUUCCACUAAUCAGUGGCACCCCCACAACCGGCAUUAGCUUCACAGUCAACUCAGUACUGCUCAGAUUGUGCGCCGUAUACUGUAAACUAUAGGCCGCGAAGCUCCCAACCUGCGC
RNAcentral lists this unclassified non-coding RNA (237 nucleotides) under Hevea brasiliensis (rubber tree). The record is from RNAcentral. Lineage: Eukaryota; Viridiplantae; Streptophyta; Magnoliopsida; Malpighiales; Euphorbiaceae.